This 442-nucleotide ribosomal RNA is filed under the name uncultured bacterium. RNAcentral describes it as "partial 16S ribosomal RNA". It matches the Rfam family "Bacterial small subunit ribosomal RNA", at positions 338 to 795 of the family's 1533-position model. The record is from RNAcentral.
CCUACGGGUGGCAGCAGUAGGGAAUCUUUCACAAUGGGCGAAAGCCUGAUGGAGCAACACCGCGUGCAGGAUGAAGGCCUUCGGGUUGUAAACUGCUUUUAUAAGCGAGAAAUAUGAUGGUAACUUAUGAAUAAGUAUCGGCUAACUACGUGCCAGCAGCCGCGGUCAUACGUAGGAGCCGCGCAUUAUCCGGAGUGACUGGGUGUAAAGAGUUGCGUAGGUGGCAUAAUAAGUAGCUAGUGAAAUCUGGUGGCUCAACCAUUCAGACUAUUAGCUAAACUGUUAAGCUCGAGACCGUUAGGGGUAACUGGAAUUUCUAGUGUAGGAGUGAAAUCCGUAGAUAUUAGAAGGAACACCAAUAGCGUAGGCAGGUUGCUGGGACGGUUCUGACACUAAGGCACGAAAGCGUAGGGAGCAAACGGGAUUAGAUACCCCUGUAGUC